Molecule: ribosomal RNA, 468 nt
Filed under: uncultured bacterium
Lineage: Bacteria
Description: partial 16S ribosomal RNA
Rfam family: Bacterial small subunit ribosomal RNA
Source: RNAcentral
GACGAACGCUGGCGGCGGGCUUAACACAUGCAAGUCGAACGGAAACGUCCGGCUUUUGUGCGGUGCUCGAGGGGCGAACGGGUGAGUAACACUUGAGUAACCUGCCCCUGACUUUGGCAUAACUUCAGGCCACUGGGGCUCAUACCGGAUAGGAGCUCUUGCCGUUUGGUGGGGGCUGGAAAGUUUCGGCGGUUGGGGAUGGACUCGCGGCUUAUCUGCUUGUUGGUUGGGUAGUGGCUUACCAAGGCCUUGACGGGUAGCCGGCCUGAGAGGGUGACCGGCACAGUUGCACCGGGGAUACGGCACGGACCAGUACGGGAGGCAGGGCAGUGGUAGAUAGCAUGAUGCGAGGAAGCAUGGUGCAGCAACGCCGCGCCCGGGGUGGCAGCCUGCUUUUAGGAGGGCAUAAUCGUCUGAGAGGGAGCGUGAGUGACGGUAACGGGUGAAGAAGCACCGGCUAACUACGUG